RNAcentral lists this ribosomal RNA (410 nucleotides) under uncultured microorganism. RNAcentral describes it as "bacterial SSU rRNA". It matches the Rfam family "Bacterial small subunit ribosomal RNA", at positions 509 to 917 of the family's 1533-position model. The record is from RNAcentral.
CAGCAGCCGCGGUAAUACGUAGGGUGCUAGCGUUAAUCGGAUUUACUGGGCGUAAAGCGUGCGCAGGCGGCCCGUUAAGACAGGUGUGAAAUCCCUGGGCUCAACCUAGGAAUUGCGCUUGUGACUGGCGGGCUCGAGUACGGUAGAGGGGGGUGGAAUUCCUGGUGUAGCAGUGAAAUGCGUAGAGAUCAGGAGGAACACCGAUGGCGAAGGCAGCCCCCUGGGCCUGUACUGACGCUCAUGCACGAAAGCGUGGGGAGCAAACAGGAUUAGAUACCCGGGUAGUCCACGCCCUAAACGAUGGGUACUAGCCGUUUGGUGCGCGAUAGCGCUGAGUGGCGAAGCUAACGCGAGAAGUACCCCGCCUGGGGAGUACGGCCGCAAGGUUGAAACUUAAAGGAAUUGGCGGG